RNAcentral lists this ribosomal RNA (619 nucleotides) under uncultured bacterium. RNAcentral's name for it is "bacterial SSU rRNA". It matches the Rfam family "Bacterial small subunit ribosomal RNA", at positions 338 to 949 of the family's 1533-position model. The record is from RNAcentral.
CCUACGGGAGGCAGCAGUGGGGAAUUUUGGACAAUGGGCGAAAGCCUGAUCCAGCAAUGCCGCGUGAGUGAAGAAGGCCUUCGGGUUGUAAAGCUCUUUUGUCAGGGAAGAAACGGUGAGAGCUAAUAUCUUUUGCUAAUGACGGUACCUGAAGAAUAAGCACCGGCUAACUACGUGCCAGCAGCCGCGGUAAUACGUAGGGUGCAAGCGUUAAUCGGAAUUACUGGGCGUAAAGCGUGCGCAGGCGGUUUUGUAAGUCUGAUGUGAAAUCCCCGGGCUCAACCUGGGAAUUGCAUUGGAGACUGCAAGGCUAGAAUCUGGCAGAGGGGGGUAGAAUUCCACGUGUAGCAGUGAAAUGCGUAGAUAUGUGGAGGAACACCGAUGGCGAAGGCAGCCCCCUGGGUCAAGAUUGACGCUCAUGCACGAAAGCGUGGGGAGCAAACAGGAUUAGAUACCCUGGUAGUCCACGCCCUAAACGAUGUCUACUAGUUGUCGGGUCUUAAUUGACUUGGUAACGCAGCUAACGCGUGAAGUAGACCCGCCUGGGGAGUACGGUCGCAAGAUUAAAACUCAAAAUGGAAAUUGACCGGNNGAGAGNGCGAGACGACACGAGGAGGAG